UUCUAUGUAUUUGUUUUAGUGCAACGAAGACAAAGAUUGCAUUUAUCCAGAAAGAUGUGUGUUUCGGUCGGAAAAGACUGGUAAUUUUUGUAGUAGGGUAAUACGAAAUUAUCCUGUUAUACCAACGACGCCCAAAACUUGCGUCAUACCUGGAUUAUAUUGCGAAAAAGACGAUGAUUGCUGUUCCAAAAACUGUCAUAGGUUUUUCAAUACUAGCAUAACCUAUUGCCUAUCUAAUGAUCCACCUUUGUGCAAAUUGACCGGUGCGGAAUGUUCUAGGAAUUUAGAUUGCUGUUCUGCAAACUGUGACAAUUAUACGAUAGCAACUUCUGUCCGUACCUGCCUUCCAAAAGCAAAUGGCUUCUCCAUCACGACGCCAUUAAGUAUUGAUAUUCCGCCAUUUUGCAUUAAAAGUGGAUCGACUUGCAAAUCAAAUGAUGAAUGCUGCUCUGGUUUAUGUUCAUUUCCACCACACAGUAAAUUACUUGUUUGCUUGGAUCAUCUUUAAAAUUUUUU
Long non-coding RNA from Cotesia glomerata, 516 nucleotides. RefSeq lists it as uncharacterized. The record is from RefSeq and is a predicted model, not a curated record. The transcript has 4 exons. NCBI's taxonomy places the organism in Eukaryota, Metazoa, Arthropoda, Insecta, Hymenoptera, Braconidae.